UUCGCAAUGCCCGAAAGGGUGACGAAGCGACGCCGCGUGUGGGAAGAAGGCCUUCGGGUUGUAAACCACUGUCGGGAGUUAAGAAAUGCAAGGGUGUUAAUAGCACCCUUGCUUGACUAAGGCUCCGGAGGAAGCUACGGCUAACUCUGUGCCAGCAGCCGCGGUAAUACAGAGGUGGCAAGCGUUGUUCGGAAUUAUUGGGCGUAAAGAGCACGUAGGCGGCCUUGAAAGUCAGUUGUGAAAUCCUUCCGCUUAACGGAAGAACUGCAUCUGAUACUCCAGGGCUCGAGUGCGGGAGGGGAGAGUGGAACUUCUGGUGGAGCGGUGAAAUGCGUAGAUAUCAGAAGGAACGCCGGCGGCGAAAGCGGCUCUCUGGUCCGUAACUGACGCUGAGUGUGCGAAAGCUAGGGGAUCAAACGGGAUUAGAUACCCCGGUAGUCCUAGCCGUAAACGAUGGGCACUAAGUAGAG
RNAcentral lists this ribosomal RNA (470 nucleotides) under uncultured bacterium. RNAcentral's name for it is "bacterial SSU rRNA". It matches the Rfam family "Bacterial small subunit ribosomal RNA", at positions 365 to 825 of the family's 1533-position model. The record is from RNAcentral.